Molecule: ribosomal RNA, 253 nt
Filed under: uncultured bacterium
Lineage: Bacteria
Description: partial 16S ribosomal RNA
Rfam family: Bacterial small subunit ribosomal RNA
Source: RNAcentral
GACGAACCGUGCGAACGUUGUUCGGAUUCACUGGGCUUAAAGGGCGCGUAGGCGGGCGGUCAAGUCAGGGGUGAAAUCUUUCGGCCUAACCGGAAAAGGGCCUCUGAUACUGGCCGUCUCGAGGGAGGUAGGGGCAUGCGGAACUUCCGGUGGAGCGGUGAAAUGCGUAGAUAUCGGAAGGAACGCCGGUGGCGAAGGCGACUCACUGGCCCGAUACUGACGCUGAUGCGCGAAAGCGUGGGGAGCAAACAGG